GACGAACGCUGGCGGCGUGCUUAACACAUGCAAGUCGAACGGAAAGGCCCUGCUUUUGUGGGGUGCUCGAGUGGCGAACGGGUGAGUAACACGUGAGUAACCUGUCCUUGACUUUGGGAUAACUUCAGGAAACUGGGGCUCAUACCGGAUAGGAGCUCCUGCUGCAUGGUGGGGGUUGGAAAGUUUCGGCGGUUGGGGAUGGACUCGCGGCUUAUCAGCUUGUUGGUGGGGUAGUGGCUUACCAAGGCUUUGACGGGUAGCCGGCCUGAGAGGGUGACCGGCCACAUUGGGACUGAGAUACGGCCCAGACUCCUACGGGAGGCAGCAGUGGGGAAUAUUGCACAAUGGGCGGAAGCCUGAUGCAGCAACGCCGCGUGCGGGAUGACGGCCUUCGGGUUGUAAACCGCUUUCGCCUGUGACGAAGCGUGAGUGACGGUAAUGGGUAAAGAAGCACCGGCUAACUACGUG
Molecule: ribosomal RNA, 468 nt
Filed under: uncultured bacterium
Lineage: Bacteria
Description: partial 16S ribosomal RNA
Rfam family: Bacterial small subunit ribosomal RNA
Source: RNAcentral